CGCCCCAGCGCCUCCGCCGUGGGGUACACCUAAAAAACGAGGUCGUACAGCUGCAGCCAGUACAGCACGGUGAUGGCGAGGGCCACCGUCUGCGCCACGUUGAACAUUCCACCCCCACCCCACACCCCCUAUGUACCGGGGUCAUACAGCAGCAGCCAGUACAGCACGGUGAUGGCGAGGGCCACCGUCUGCGCCACGUUGAACAGUUCCACCCCCACCC
Molecule: long non-coding RNA, 220 nt
Organism: Cydia splendana
Lineage: Eukaryota; Metazoa; Arthropoda; Insecta; Lepidoptera; Tortricidae
Exons: 3
Source: RefSeq, a predicted model, not a curated record